RNAcentral lists this ribosomal RNA (409 nucleotides) under Nembrotha megalocera. RNAcentral's name for it is "partial 16S ribosomal RNA". It matches the Rfam family "Archaeal large subunit ribosomal RNA", at positions 1920 to 2666 of the family's 2987-position model. Lineage: Eukaryota; Metazoa; Mollusca; Gastropoda; Nudibranchia; Polyceridae. The record is from RNAcentral.
AGCUUGAAGAUAUUUAUUUCAAGUUGAACCUGCCCAGUGUUGUUUAAUAAAAUGGCCGCGGUACUUUGACCGUGCUAAGGUAGCGCAAUCAAUUGGUUUUUAAUUGGAGCCAGGUAUGAAUGGAGUUACGGAGUUUUUCUGUCUCCUAGCUAAUUUAUUGAAGUUACUUUGUAGGUGAAAAAGCCUAUAAAAAGAAAAAAGACGAGAAGACCCUUAGAGUUUUUUUUCAAAGAAGUUUUGUUGGGGCAACAUGGGAACAAAUUUCCAUCUACCGAUCAUAUUAAAUUUGAAUAAACUACCUUAGGGAUAACAGCAUAAUUUUAUAAAUAAGUUUGUGACCUCGAUGUUGGACUGGGAAACUGGAAGGCUAGCCGCCUUUCAGGUGAGUUCUGUUCGAACUAUUAUUCCC